RNAcentral lists this ribosomal RNA (497 nucleotides) under uncultured bacterium. RNAcentral's name for it is "partial 16S ribosomal RNA". It matches the Rfam family "Bacterial small subunit ribosomal RNA", at positions 28 to 507 of the family's 1533-position model. The record is from RNAcentral.
GAUGAACGCUGGCGGCGUGCCUAAUACAUGCAAGUCGAGCGAACAGACGAGGAGCUUGCUCCUCUGACGUUAGCGGCGGACGGGUGAGUAACACGUGGAUAACCUACCUAUAAGACUGGGAUAACUUCGGGAAACCGGAGCUAAUACCGGAUAAUAUAUUGAACCGCAUGGUUCAAUAGUGAAAGACGGUUUUGCUGCCACUUAUAGAUGGAUCCGCGCCGCAUUAGCUAGUUGGUAAGGUAACGGCUUACCAAGGCAACGAUGCGUAGCCGACCUGAGAGGGUGAUCGGCCACACUGGAACUGAGACACGGUCCAGACUCCUACGGGAGGCAGCAGUAGGGAAUCUUCCGCAAUGGGCGAAAGCCUGACGGAGCAACGCCGCGUGAGUGAUGAAGGUCUUCGGAUCGUAAAACUCUGUUAUUAGGGAAGAACAAAUGUGUAAGUAACUAUGCACGUCCUGACGGUACCUAAUCAGAAAGCCACGGCUAACUACGUG